AAAUUGUAUAGAAAUAAGUAUGCCAAGUAAAAUAAAUCAAGAUUUAAAUUUUUGCCAUGCACAUUUUUCUGUUUUGUGGCAUACGUAUAUUUUCACGCUUGAAUUCAAGCAGUUUAAUAAAGAAGUCUUACCUCUCGCUAUGCCCCAAUUUUUUUUUAUUUUAACCUUCAGAGACAUGUUCCCAAACCAACUACCACUUUCUUUGUGUGCCUUGUUGCCUUUGUUCAUCACACAUUGCAAACCUCUUGUGGACGCUGGUCAACAUUAUGCCCAGGCAGAGAUCCUGGAUGGCGGGUUUUAUUAAAGAGGAUACAGUAUAUACUAAGUGGGAUGAGGUCACAACUUCAAAAAUGAAAGAACCUAUUCCGAACAAAGAUCCUUUUUUUUUUCUUUUUUUUUU
Molecule: long non-coding RNA, 400 nt
Organism: Erpetoichthys calabaricus (reedfish)
Lineage: Eukaryota; Metazoa; Chordata; Cladistia; Polypteriformes; Polypteridae
Exons: 2
Source: RefSeq, a predicted model, not a curated record